UAGUCCCGCCCGCGUCGCCCGCCAGCCCCGGGACAGCCCGCCUGGCGCGCGGGGCUCUGCGCGCUGCGACCCUCCCCGGCAGUCCCGCCCGCCUCUCCUCGCCCUCUCUCUGCCUGGCCUCCAACUUUGCCUCUCGCUAUCCUCUCCGCCGGCGCCCCCUUUCCCGGCGGUCCCCGGGAUGGUCCCCGGCACCCCGAGGACGCCGAGGUUACGGGAAGUUCGGGGACUGGCGGGAGAAGGGGUUUGGGGGUGGUCCGCGGCGAGGGGCGCGGGGUGCAUCUUCUCUUCCUUUUAUCUUUGAACACCGCCUCCCACCCCGCGGGAAGUGCGGGCUUGGUUUGUACCGCGGUGACCCCCGCCCCCUCCGAAGCCGCAGAGCCGGGGCCUCGCGCCAGCAGGGCUGGAGAUGCCUUCUUGGCGGCUGAGUUUAUUUAUUAUAGGAAGUCAUUCGCUCGUGGGGUAUUUAUGUGAUUUGGCGAGUGAUGUGCCCGGCCAGCGCCCUCCUUGGCUGCAGCCCCGCAGGAGGACCCGGAGUAGGGUGGGAUGGAGUGGGUCGUGGGAGGAGCGCGUCAGCGCCUGCCCGGGGACCCCCAGCUCCCGCGAGGACACGGAGGCGCGCACGCCGCUCGGUUUUCCUGGAAAGUGGAGAAGGAGCGUCCUGGGCAGGUCCUCUGAGCUCAUCCCCCCUCGGAUUGGGGCGGGUCUGUGACGGGGUCACUUAGGACACGACGUCCCCCCGCCAUUCCCUUCCCCCGCCCAGGGCGUUCGCGGUGGGCGCCCACCGCCAAGCCCCACUGUUCCCAAGGAUGCGCCAGGUGCUUCCCGUAGCGUCCUGGGUUGACCCUUAAAAAAACAGCACCCCUAGGAGGUGGCCGGCCCUCUCCUCCCAGGGUCUCUCCGGGUCACGAUCUUCCAAAGUUCGGAAACUCGCAGGAUCGCGUGUGCAAUCUCCCGCUACCUCCCGGGGGGCCGGGGAGAGGUCAGAGGAGCGAGUCCCGCGUCCACCGGCCUCGCUUGCCCCCUGCCCGUUUGAGGAUAGUUCCAGGGAGCAGGGUGGAGUGUGCGGACAUCUUUGGAGGCAGUGCUGGGGCUUCCCGCGUUGGCGGCGCUCCACCCGGCGUGGGGGGCGGCUGCACGGGCCCCCGCGGUGGGGACGCUGCGCACGGGGCAAGGUCUCCCUAGGAAGCGCCCGGGAAGGAGAUGGGGCCCGCCAGGAACCCCCCUCACUGACCAGCUUUCUGCACGCCGUGCAGGAGGGGGCCACUUCCUCGGAGAGUAUUGGCUUUUAAUUAAAACAAGCCCUACAAUUUUUACAUCGUAUCUUUUCUUAUUAUGUAAUAGUCAAUGGAAAUUAUAAGCACUGUGCGAGGUUUUCUGAAAUGGGAUUAGAGAAAACCCAAAUAAUCUCUUUAAGAUAAAAAAGUACUGAGUCUUUCAGCAACAGAAAGAAAUUAAACCAUAAGCUUAGCAUGUUACAAGCUAAUUGCAAGAGUAAACUGGUGGCAUAGGAAGAAAGCUCAUAAACAGAAGUAAAAUCGUGCUGGUGAAUGUUGAGAUAAAAAGUGGUUCAGGCUGUCGCAACGCCUUUCAGUAGCUGCUGCUUGAAUCACCUCUCUUGGUACAUUCGCUGAGUGGGUCAGCUCAUCACAGGCCUGCGGCCCCUGCAUGGGUGACAGAGGAGGCAAAGAUGACACAGAGAAACUAUCCCUUCAGGGACAGAGUGGGGACACCCACGAGCUUGGCUCUGCCUUACAAAGAAAUGAGAAGGAACCCCGUUCCUGCUUUUCACCUUAGGUGAGCUCUGAAUCUGCAGCCACUCACCAAACGCCUGAGCAGCCCCGCACCACAGUGAUGAUCUGGGGAGGAAAUGUUGAAAUGCAAUAUAAAUGGAGGGAGAGAGCACAAUAAGGAGAGGCACUGGAAUGUGACAUUUGUGGGGAGGAGUUUGGGGACAUGUCAGUGUCAGGCACACAGUAAUACAAGCUGAUAAUCAAGGCAAGCAAAUAAUCAAAAGGCUAACAAGAGCCGAGGCUGACUAAGGACACCAUUCCACUCCCCCAGGGGCUCAGCUGCCUACGCCUGGCCUCCUGCCUCUCCACGGAGAUGCAGGGCUGCCACACUUGUGUAUCCCUUCUUCCUUGAAUUUAACCAGGAGUGAGCAGUGGACAGCUUCUUCCCUAUGAGAAGGAGGUGAAGCAGGACCUGAAAUCCCGUGCUCAGCUCCCACAUGCCCCGUGUCCAGGACAAGUCCUUUGCUGAAUCAGCGGCAGACACCACCCGGAGCCCUGCGGGAGCCUUUCCCUGUUCUUCCAGCAUGGAUCUGAAACUCCCUUCCCACUUUCUGCAGCCUCCCAGAGAUAGUUCAGGCUCCAGCCUCAUGUGAUAGCAUGAAGAGAAACUGGUUCCAACAGCUGUGUGCUCUGCUGCCCUCAUCCCAAACAACAGUUUAAAUGCACAAUUACGCUUUUCUCUAAGGCCCAAAAUAGGAUAGGAAAGAUCGUUUUGCUAUCCCUGAAUGCCUGUCACCCUUGUUUCGUAAGGUAAGAUUGGGAAGGGCUUGGCCAUUGCCCUUGCAGCUGAGAAACCAACUUUAGGAAUAAAGACACUCUCUCCAUGUCUGCAGGAAGUCAGUCCCAGAAUAGUUGUUCUGCUCCCUCCCUUCUAAUAAGUGCUGCGCUGAGUGUGCUUGCUUUGCCAGAUGGUUAAAACAGAGCAGGGGAUAGAAGGACAGAUGUCUUCACCCUCAUGGAGUUCACCUUCCAGUAGGAGGAGGCGAUAGGCCGGGGUCUGCACAUGUGCGUGCUACAGCCUGUUCCACGGUGCGUGGCGUGCGGGGCAGUAGAGACAGGAUUUCACCAUGUUGGCUAGGAUGGUCUCGAUCUCCUGACCUUGUGAUCCGCCCCUCCCUCAGCCUCCCAAAGUGCUGGGAUUACAGGCGUGAGCCACUGCACCCUGCCAGAAAACUCAUUCUUCUACUCCAUCCUACAGUUUUCCCUAAGAGAGAAACAAUAAAACGCCACCACGACCAAUGGCAAAAAGCUGGCACCCACUCCACGACUUUUCAUAUCUACACGUUUGUACAGCUUUAUUUUUAAGCAUUCUGAAAUUCUAUGCAGGAGAGACCCCAGCUAGGUUUAGGGAGUCCUAGGGUUUGUGGAGUAAAUGAAGUUUCUCCCUAGAAUUAGGGAGGGUAGAGACAGGCAGAGAACUGACAAUCCUAACAGCUGCUGUCCUCAGAGCCACUGUUUCUGAGAGCUGCUCGCUGAGUGCUUCUAGCGAGUUAAAUGGUGUUCGCCCAAAAGACCUGUUCACGUCCUGAUCCUGGGAACCUGUGGCUGUGAUCUUAUUUGGAAAAAGCUCUACAUUACGUCUUUGCAGAAGUAAUCAUGUUAAGGAUCUUGAGAGGACGUGACCCUGAAUUAUCCGGCUGUGCUUGACAUCCAAUGACUGGUGAUGUUGUAAGAGAAAGACGGAGGGAGAUGUAAGAUAUGAGAGAAGGCCACGCCGAGACUGGAGUGAUGUGGCCGUGAGCCGAGGAAUGCCUGGAGCCACCAGAAGCUGGCAAAGGCAGAAGGAGCCUCCUCUGGACCCUGUGGUGGGUACGCAGCCUGGCAGAUAUAUUCAUUUUGGACUUCUGGCCUCCAGGGCUGUGAGAGAAUACAUUUCUGCAGUUUUAAGCCACGCAAUCUGUGUCCCUGGGAAGCCCAAAUAGGGCGAGACCUUUUGCCAAGUGGUCUCCAAGUGUCACGUCAUCGAAUCCUUCUCCCGGGCUUGUGCCAUAGUCUUUCCACUUUAGAGAGGAGGAAACGGAGGCUCUGGGGCACAAAGCCAGUCAGUGGCGGGGCCUGACUUUCAACCCAGCCUGCAUGGGGUCAGAGAACCCACUUUCCCCGUGGGGCCUGCGGCCUAUGCUAAGGAUGCUUGUUCAUCUCUCCUGGGCCCGGGAGUGGUUCUUCUGGCCUAGAAGGCAAGAGAAGCCAGUCUUUCGGUUUCAAGGUUUCCCAUUAGUGGAGUCAAGCAAAAAUGGUGUGUUGCGCUUCUUCCUGAGCUCAGCCUGGGAGCACGGCCUUAACAUGCUCAGUGGAUCCCAAGACGGCAGCAUGGCGGUGCCAGCCUGGCAGCCUUAGCUCCUUGCAGCUGUGCUUGUGAAGGGAGCAGUGAGUGGCUUCCCUCUGUGACCACCUUGGGUCCUAAGUUUCACUGGGGCUGGGAUCCAUGCGUCUUGCAAUUGGCUAGGAAUUUCCCGGGCUUUCCCUCCCUUCCCUGUUCAGGGCACUGGGUGUGAGGCAUUGCAUCCGUUCUUCUGCUCACCUGCUUCCCCCUAAGAGUGUGAGCUGUAUAAAGGCAGGAACCAAACAGGAGCCUCCACGUGUUCCCAGUUCAAGGGCAGUGUCCCUUGUGUGUUUCUUCAAUAAUUCAGUGGAUGACUUAUUCUGCACGGACACUGCACACACUCGGCCCUGCCGUCUCCGGAGCUGGGAGGUGUGGAGCUGGCUCCUGACCUAUUUACACACUGAGGAGGGAUGUGGAAAACAGGAGGAGUCCCAGGGCUCCAAUGCAAAGAGGAGCCUCUUCAUUCCCUCUGCCGUGGCCGUGCAAGGGACAGCGCCUUGUGGGAUUGUGUCCUCCACCCAAUUAUCCUUAGCAUUAGUUUGCUAAGGAUAAUGGCCUCCAGCUCCACCCAUGUCCCUGCAAAGGACAUGAUCUCAUUCCUUUCUGUGUCUGCAUAGUAUUCCAUGGUGUAUAUGUACCGCGUUUUCUUUAUCGAGUCUAUCAUUGAUGGGCGCUUCAGUUGAUUCCAUGUCUUUGCUACUGUGACUCGUGCUGCAAUGAGCAUUCGCGUGCAUGCCUUUAUGGUGGAAUUAUUUCUAUUCCUUUGGGUGCAUACCCAGUCAUGGGAUUGCUGGGUCAAAUGGCAUUUCUGCCUCUAGGUCUUUAAGGAAUUGCCACGCUGUCUUCCACAAUGCAAGCAAGACGUUAUUGAAAGUGUAAAGGGGGCUGCUAAUUACGCUGGGGCAGGCGGGGCAAACCAGGACCCUGCCAGGCGAGUCUAGGCCAUGGCCCCACACCAGAAGAUGAGGGCUGGAGACUCCUGGAGAGGAAUCUGAGUGGCGAGACCACCUGCAUUCAUUAUGUGUCAACUCUGCCAGGUGACAGUCCCCAGUGAGCCCAUCAAACAUGAACCUAGGUGCUGUUGGGAAGGUCUUUGGAUGCCAUUAACAUCUACAAUCAGUUGGUUUUCAGUAGAGGAGAUUAUCCUCAAGAAUGUGGGCGGGCCUCAUCCAGUGAGCUGAAAGGCCUUGAGAGCAGAACUAGGAUUUUGGAGGAGGAUGAAGUGUUGCCUCCGGACCGCAGCGUCACCUCUUGCCUGGGAAUUUCCAGCUUCCUUUUCAGACUUCGGACUUGCCUCCAAGCUCCCUGAAUCUUUUCAUAUAUUUAUGUCCUAUUGCAGAUUGUGUUUCUCUGGCUGGACUGUAACUGAUGAGGAGGACUGAAAUUCCAGGCUUGGUUGUAUAGCAUAUAAGUGAGGUCAUUUGGGUCUGGGGAGCUGGGGGGGGGGUCCUUCAGCUGCAUGAGUGUGACCUGCACCAAGGUGCCUGGCUACCUGGGGCGAGGGGGCUGCCAUCUAGCCCACACCCCACUCCUAGGCCGUGCACCCUGGCAUGGGUCUAUGUCUGGCUCAAGGAAGGGUUCCCUCCUCCCUCCAAUGUGCACAGAGACCUUGAGAUCCCAUCCACCUAACCCUGUGCCCUCAGAAGCCUCCUCUGAGAGGGGGCACCUUUUCCUAAUUCUCACAAAGGCUAGUGGCUACCUUGUAGAUAGCCUUGGAUGUGUUAGGACACUUUUCUGAACAUCAGUUCCUUAUCUGUAAGAUGGGAGUUGUGUCCUCAAUGGGUAAUUAGAGAUUAUUCAUGGGAAAUCCUAUCACGGUAUCUACCACGGGGAGACUCACAAGUGCUGAUCUUUGCUGGUGUUGCUGCAUUUGUUAUUGAAUGCAUUCGUUAGGAGUCUUGUUAGUAAGUGACAAAAAUCCAACUCAAAUUGGCUUACACUAAACAAGUUUCCUGCAUCUGGGAGUAUAAAGGGUGGCUACUGACGACUCUUGCUUACCAAAUGCAGGCGAAGCUGUUCAGAAGUA
This 6139-nucleotide long non-coding RNA is filed under the name Homo sapiens (human). RNAcentral describes it as "HSALNT0197384". Lineage: Eukaryota; Metazoa; Chordata; Mammalia; Primates; Hominidae. The record is from RNAcentral.